UAACAAUAAUAAUAAAGGAAAAGCCUAAUUUUUCAGACACCUUCUGAACUGAAUCUUGAUUUUAGCACGCAUAAACCUAGCUGAGGUGCGUGUGAGGAAAUUGCCUAAGCUUGUUAGGGCUUCAUUGCCUUGCCUUUAUGCUACCAAUUUCCACGCACUAUGAAAAAAGGGGUGGCCAGCAGCAGCCCUCGAGCAAGACGACAACAGGCCCGCCAGGUCCCGCCCAAGUGGUGCGUUGCUCACGCAGCUAUCAUCAACAAUAAUAACGAGAGUACAAGGCACAAAGGAACAGCCUCUGCCUAGCUGCGCCGCCUCUCCUCGUGCUGUUGCUGCCUUCUAAGUUAAGCGUCAAAAGUUUUGAUAGCUUAUGAGAUGCCUACUGGAGCGAGUGCUUCGACUCCGGCGAAUCCUUGCUAGAGCCCAUUGAGUAGAAGCGGGCAACAUUUUUCAUUUUUAGUUGAGCAAAAUUUUUAACACAAAACUUUUAUGUAAAAUGUCUUGCGAGAUAAAAGUUUAAAUUGUCAAUUGAAAAUGUUGUUGGUAAAAGUUUUUUUGAUUAAUUUUCACUGCGCUGUGCCGUUGACAAUAAACCCGAUGAGCUGAUGCGGAUGCGGGCGCGGAAUGCGGGGCGAAGGGCAAGAAAGUGUGUUGAAGUCCCAAACAUUUACAUGUUCAGUUCGGCACGAGGCAGACAAACAAUUGAGCACAUUAACGCGCUCAGAUAUGAAGCAGGAAAGAGACAGAGCCAACGAUUCUCAUAUAGCUGCGAGGGAUUUAGCCUAGACACAGGCACAGGCAGUGCCAACAUUUUUGGCUACCAUAUAUCGUUUUAACAUAAUUUCUGUGGCAAAAUUAACUUUAUGAACUGUUGAGCAAAACGAGGGAAGCAACCUGCAAUCGGCAACUAAAGAUAGAAGACAGUCCUUGGAGCGUGCGCCGCACAACCUGCCACUUAAAACAAAUAACAAAGUUUUGCUUAACUUUGCGGCAAGUCGCUCGAUGGGCUCGCCCCGAAUCGGUUGCCCUGCCAGCCCUGAGCCUGCGUUAGAUUCCUUCUCCUGCACCCAAGGAGCUGCCCCAGUCAUGCCUUGUCAAAAUUAUGGCCAGACACAAAGCAAUGUCGUCGUCAACGACGUGGUGCGGCUUUGUCUUGGGCGUUGCAGGAAAUCAUUCGCAGUGUGCGACUCGGAGUCGACCGCCCGACAAAGUCGACCCCCUUAGGCUAAAUUACGUAUGAAAAUGGAUUUUAUUAAAAAGAAGUUGGCGACGGCAAGACAUUUACGAAAGCAGCAAGGCAAACGACAGCAACUCUGUUUACGUUUGCCCAUCAACAAUAAAUUGAGAGCUGUUCAAAAAAAAUAAAAACAUUCAGAAGCAAUCAAAAAAAGCUGUACACAAAUAAAAUACCUUUAAAAGGUUCAUAUAAGUUUAUGUACAAGUAUAACAAGCAGGUUGUGGAUUGAAUUUGAAUAUGAUAUGCAUUUAAACUAACUUUUUAAACCUACACACAUGGAGUACAUUUUUUCCGGAGAAUAAUGGCUUUUGUCAAAAUGUAUGCAAAUCAUGGCUUUGCUUUGCCGAGUUUUGUGUGAUAAACGGCUGCAUUUAGCUAUUAGCCAGACACGCUAAUUGGAAUUGAUGGAGAGCGAAAAGAAGGAAACGCUUGAAUAGCUGCAAUCGGAGAAGUCUAGAGCUGCACAUCGCCCAUAUUACUAAACGCCACUCAAGAGCCAAUAAAUGAAGGCAGCUUGGAGUUGGGAGGGGGGCAUUUUUGGGCAAUUGUCUGCAUUGAAGCUUGAGGUAAUUGCACUGCUUUCAACGCCCCAACAAAACAAUAAGCCUUAACUGAGAAGCACAACACCUAACCGGCAAAUACACCCACACACACGCACACACUGCCAUCGAUACGGCGCCAACUUUGGGCCAACUUCAUGAAUUUUGAAUGAAACUAAGGCUAAGUCACAGCCAGAACCCUGCCAGAAGACGUGAGGCAGUCGCAGUUGAAGCCGGGCGUCGUCCUACUCGGUUCGCUUGCGCUGUCGUUUGUGUCGUUUGUGUCGUUCCUGACUACCGACGACUACUUAGAGACGCCUAAACAGCUUCAUUACUUUUAUGG
Drosophila virilis is the source of this 2116-nucleotide long non-coding RNA. RefSeq lists it as uncharacterized. Lineage: Eukaryota; Metazoa; Arthropoda; Insecta; Diptera; Drosophilidae. The record is from RefSeq and is a predicted model, not a curated record.